UACGUAGGGUGCAAGCGUUGCUCGGAAUUACUGGGCGUAAAGCGUGCGCAGGCGGCUUUUCAAGUCAGAUGUGAAAUCCCCGGGCUUAACCUGGGAACUGCAUUUGUGACUGCAUGGCUGGAGUGCGGCAGAGGGGGAUGGAAUUCCGCGUGUAGCAGUGAAAUGCGUAGAUAUGCGGAGGAACACCGAUGGCGAAGGCAAUCCCCUGGGCCGGUACUGACGCUCAGGCACGAAAGCGUGGGGAGCAAACAGG
This 253-nucleotide ribosomal RNA is filed under the name uncultured bacterium. RNAcentral describes it as "partial 16S ribosomal RNA". It matches the Rfam family "Bacterial small subunit ribosomal RNA", at positions 524 to 776 of the family's 1533-position model. The record is from RNAcentral.